Eptesicus fuscus (big brown bat) is the source of this 734-nucleotide long non-coding RNA. RefSeq lists it as uncharacterized. The transcript has 4 exons. The record is from RefSeq and is a predicted model, not a curated record. Lineage: Eukaryota; Metazoa; Chordata; Mammalia; Chiroptera; Vespertilionidae.
GGCGCAGAGCUGUCCGUCUUAAUCAGAGCUUCCUUUCUGGGAGCGGCUUCCUUCGUGUCACAAACUUGGCACAGUUCGAACCUCCGCCUCAAGAGUUAUUUUCUUUGGGUUUUGCAAAUCUUCUUUUCCCCGGAGGAGACAGAGAGCGCCACAUUUCUUUCCACCUGGAAAGCACCAGGGUUCGAAGGCUGCCCGUGCGUUCCUGCAAGAGGCGUGGUUGCGUGUCUCCACCCCGCAGUUUCCCCAGACGAGCACGCCCGCCGAGGCUCAGAGAGGGUCCCUGAUUUGCCUCAACGCCUCCAAGGAGCCAGGAGAACUGGUGGUCAAGCCCUGUCACCUUCCCGCCUCAGAUGGCCCUUCGCGGAUGCCGCAUCGCUAGGGUGAGACCCUCCCAGAUUCCCUUGCAGCUAGGAUUCCACAUAGGAUCUGAAUUCUGCCCCAUGCAAGUCUCGGCAAGUCUCGGCUAUAAAGUGAGCAAUAGAAGUUGGUAGACAUGCUCAGGAAGACCAGAUGUGCUGGCGUUUUCCACGGCCCUGCUGUCACAGGAACACUGAAGCGAAAUAAAGGGAAGAGGAAGAAGGAGAAAAGGUCAAGGGAAAAUGACGCAGAUGGCCACAUCUUGUCGCGUGGAGGUCGCCCAGAUUUCGCAAAAUGCCGUCUCCCUCGUGCAGUUAGCUGUUUCUACGCUGGAACAAACAGAUCGUUUCAAAAUAAAAUAAAAUAAUAAAAGCUAA